RNAcentral lists this ribosomal RNA (300 nucleotides) under uncultured Acidianus sp. Its description in RNAcentral is "bacterial SSU rRNA". It matches the Rfam family "Bacterial small subunit ribosomal RNA", at positions 496 to 795 of the family's 1533-position model. The record is from RNAcentral. Lineage: Archaea; Thermoproteati; Thermoproteota; Thermoprotei; Sulfolobales; Sulfolobaceae.
GAUGGCUCCGCGCCGAUAGGGAGUGUGAUACUGAAGGACCGGUCGGUGAUCGGCAUUACUUGGCGUAACGGUGUGGGAGGCGGUUUGUGAAGCGAGAUGUGAAAUCCCUGGGCUCAACCUAGGAAUAGCAGUUCGAACUGGCGAACUAGAGUCUUGUAGAUGGGGGUAGAAUUCCAGGUGUAGCGGUGAAAUGCGUAGAUAUAGGAAGGAACACCAGUGGCGAAGGCGACCACCUGGACUGAUACUGACACUGAGGUGCGAAAGCGUGGGGAGCAAACAGGAUUAGAUACCCGAGUAGUC